Molecule: long non-coding RNA, 472 nt
Filed under: Sarcophilus harrisii (Tasmanian devil)
Lineage: Eukaryota; Metazoa; Chordata; Mammalia; Dasyuromorphia; Dasyuridae
Description: lncRNA (ENSSHAG00000031116.1)
Source: RNAcentral
GCAUGCUCUGUCAGAAGCCUUCCUCUGGGAUUUGUUUUGUGGAAGAAGAGUUUCCCCCUGGCCUAACCCAGAAGAGAAUGAUGAUUGUGCAUUCCAUGCAGCCUCCGAAGCUGAGAUGCAACAAAGUAUGGAUCAAUUCUCUGCUUCUUGUGCUAAUUUUGACCUAACAAAACACCAACAAGACACAGGUCCUCCAUCAGCCAGCACUACACCAUCCAUAUGUGGAACCAUCAGUUCCAGAAAAUGGACAAACUUGGCAUUCAUUCAUUCCACGGGAAAUGUCUUUGUUACUGAAGCCGUCGUGACAAAGAUUGGCCUUGACUUGUCCUUUGGAAGGACAGAGAUUGCCUGGAAAAUCUUAUACCUCAUUUUUCUUCACUCCCAGUUAAUCAUAAAUAAAGCUUGCACAUGUAGUCUUAGGAUGCCAGGUAUGGCUGCUGCCUGGACUGUUAGUUGAUUAAUUUAUUUAUUG